AGAGUUUGAUCCUGGCUCAGGAUGAACGCCGGCGGUGUGCCUAAUACAUGCAAGUCGUACGCACUGGCCCAACUGAUUGAUGGUGCUUGCACCUGAUUGACGAUGGAUCACCAGUGAGUGGCGGACGGGUGAGUAACACGUAGGUAACCUGCCCCGGAGCGGGGGAUAACAUUUGGAAACAGAUGCUAAUACCGCAUAACAACAAAAGCCACAUGGAUUUUGUUUGAAAGAUGGCUUUGGCUAUCACUCUGGGAUGGACCUGCGGUGCAUUAGCUAGUUGGUAAGGUAACGGCUUACCAAGGCGAUGAUGCAUAGCCGAGUUGAGAGACUGAUCGGCCACAAUGGAACUGAGACACGGUCCAUACUCCUACGGGAGGCAGCAGUAGGGAAUCUUCCACAAUGGGCGCAAGCCUGAUGGAGCAACACCGCGUGAGUGAAGAAGGGUUUCGGCUCGUAAAGCUCUGUUGUUGGAGAAGAACGUGCGUGAGAGUAACUGUUCACGCAGUGACGGUAUCCAACCAGAAAGUCACGGCUAACUACGUGCCAGCAGCCGCGGUAAUACGUAGGUGGCAAGCGUUAUCCGGAUUUAUUGGGCGUAAAGCGAGCGC
RNAcentral lists this ribosomal RNA (608 nucleotides) under uncultured bacterium. Its description in RNAcentral is "bacterial SSU rRNA". It matches the Rfam family "Bacterial small subunit ribosomal RNA", at positions 8 to 572 of the family's 1533-position model. The record is from RNAcentral.